Cebus imitator (Panamanian white-faced capuchin) is the source of this 597-nucleotide long non-coding RNA. RefSeq lists it as uncharacterized. NCBI's taxonomy places the organism in Eukaryota, Metazoa, Chordata, Mammalia, Primates, Cebidae. The record is from RefSeq and is a predicted model, not a curated record. The transcript is spliced from 3 exons.
UGUUACUAACCAAAAUGAAAAGCUCCAAAUUAAGUGCUUCUUUCUACACGCUGCAGGGAAGUGUAUUCAUGCGGCAGGCAAAGAAAUUUCCAACUACUAACCACCACUCAAAGAAGCAUGCUAAAAAUAGCACCCACACCCUCUGGCUGUAAGAACUUGUUCAGAAGAUGAGAAGGGGUUAACCAUAAGGAAAGAUCCUUGAAAUGAUGAAACAACAUGAAAAAGACAAAUAUAUUGAUACACAUACACAUCUUGGAAAAACCCUUGCCAACGAUGUUUUCAUUGGAAUUCCUUAAAUUAUGGAAACAUAACCUCAAAUGGGGAUGUUUAUUAAAGGUUUAUGGAACCUCUACUUACCUGUGGCUUGCAGUUGAAUUCUAAAUGAUGCUAGAAGUAUCAAAUCCAAAAGAAAAGCCCAUGUGGAAAAAAGGUGGCAUUUAGGAGUCAGGAAGCCCACACUACAAGGAAAUCCCAGUGCUGCAGUUGAGAAUAAAUAAUUUCAUUAAGUCUUUCUGCUGGAAUGGGUCCUGUAGAAAAUUUGGAGCACAGUGAGUAUUUAAAACUUACAUUAUGCCUUUUUCUCUGCCAUUUCACACA